Molecule: ribosomal RNA, 189 nt
Filed under: Clostridioides difficile
Lineage: Bacteria; Bacillati; Bacillota; Clostridia; Peptostreptococcales; Peptostreptococcaceae
Description: partial 16S ribosomal RNA
Rfam family: Bacterial small subunit ribosomal RNA
Source: RNAcentral
AUGCUGCGGUGAAUGCGUUCCCGGGUCUUGUACCCACCGCCCGUCACACCACGGGAGUUGGAGACGCCCGAAGCCGAUUAUCUAACCUUUUGGAAGAAGUCGUCGAAGGUGGAAUCAAUAACUGGGGGGAAGUCGUAACAAGGUAGCCGUAUCGGAAGGUGCGGCUGGAUCACCUCCUUUCUAAGGAGA